Molecule: unclassified non-coding RNA, 2705 nt
Filed under: Hevea brasiliensis (rubber tree)
Lineage: Eukaryota; Viridiplantae; Streptophyta; Magnoliopsida; Malpighiales; Euphorbiaceae
Source: RNAcentral
CUUCAUGGUGCAUUCCAGUUUCCACUAUCAUUUAACAUCAAGCAAAACUGUUUUAACUAGCCACCUUAACAGUAAGAUGUUUCAUAUAUAAUGGAGUUUAAAUGUUUUUUCAUAAGAUAACAUGAUUUGAUAAUUUUUCUUGAAAUAGCAUGCCUCAAUUAUUUUCAAUGAUUAAAACUCAGCCAUAGAAAAAGGUGAAAACAAUUUAUAUUGGAGUUUCACACGGCAAUCAUAUACUUGGUUCUCUCUCUGUUGAACUGAACUACUGUAGAAGAAAAGCCUUCAUGUCCAUGGUGUCAGGUGGAUUUCCAAUACCUCAACACAGUUGAGGAAAUUCCUGGCAACCAUGCAAAUGGUCGAUCACACUUUCACUCUGUAGCAAGAUAUCAAAAGUUAUACUUCUAUUUAUCUCCUGGUUUUCAAUUUGACAAAACAGGAAGGAAAAAAAAAAGAGUUGGAAGUUCUUUGCAUGAAAAGACAAGAAUUCAAAAUUAUCUAGUCAAUUGUGUCCCCCAUGGAUGCAUCUACAUGAAGACAUCAUCAUUCAUCACAAUUAUAUUAAAGAAGUUGGAUGGAAUUUGAUUUAAUGUAGUAAGGAAAGUAUAGGUGGAUUUAGAAAAUAUGACCCCUGCACUGAAAGAAAUUGCAGAGUAACACUAAUGCAGUGACUAUCAGUAACAGAGAUCAACUGAUAGUUCACAUACACUGAUAGUCAAGUUAGGUCACAUACAGUGUUGCUCUUCUCCGAAAGUUAUUAAAAUGUAAUUAUUAAAAUGUAACUGAUAGUUCACCUACACUGCUGUAUAUUAUUAAAAUGCAUACCAAUAAAAUAUGACACAAAGGCAUUUGAUAAUGAGCAGCAAGUGGUCCAACCUAGGCAAUAAUGAAAAGAGAAGAAAAGGUUAAGCAUAAGCAAAUCAGCUACUUAUGGUGGCCAGAACUCAAAUAAGCCAAAUACAACUUAUAAAUCCAAUGUAAGUGGGAGGGGGUAAAAAAGAUAAAAGACUAACUUGGUUACCAAAAAUUUCUCAACCCGAUAGACCAGUGAUUCCUUGCAUCUCUUUCAUGUUCAGCUCUAUUUAGAAUCAUAUUUAGCAAAAAAAAAUCCCUGGCAUUCUAAUUUUAUUCACAUCCUCAAAGCAAAAUAUCACAAUGUGUAAAUCAACUGAAGUAAUUUCUGCACAUCAAAGUAUUGGUCAAAUCUAGGUAAUCCCAUCAGCACUCAGCUUUUUACAACAAAAUCUACUAAUAUUCUGGCAUACGCAAUUUAGGUUGACAUUGAUAAGAAAUGCUUCUCAGAUUUGAAUAACAGUGAUGCAUACACUUUUUCCACAAUACAAAAAGGAUGAAUGGUGAUAUGAACCUACUUAACUCCACCUCAAAAGCUAGCACAUAAGGGAAGGUUUACAAACCCAUAUUUAUAACACCCAAGACCUUCCUGCAGAACCGAUGUAGGACGCAUUAUUCCCGACUUCUUUAGACUGAACGUCCUCGUGAAUCAACCGGGGUCAUGACUCGUUCACUCCGACCUCUUUCGAAGAACGUCAGGAAACCUUUGUACAUGGCUCAUCGACCGGACGCUAAUUAUGCAAAAUAAACAAGAUACUAUACAUACUAUACAUUGUUUUCAAUCAAUCAUAAAUUUAAUUAAAAGGUAGCUCAUAUCUUGCCAAAUUUAAAGGUACAAUAGUUGUGGGAGUUUUGCACACAGAUAAUGAAAGAAGGAAAAAACAGUAAGUUAAAAACUGUUGAAUUAUGCCCCAGUUACUCAAGUAUGAAAUGUUAAAGCUUAUUUUAAAAAAUAAUUAAAAUAAAACUCCACUAAUAAAAAAGUCAUGGAAAAGGAUGCACCGUGAGGCUAUCAAUUACUGGUUUUACCAUAAAUUCAAUUCCACCAUCUUGCUUAAAUUAAAUUAAGCAGGUCGACAGUGUUUUGUCCUAAAUGUAACCCAUUGAAAUUAAUUGAUCCUCAAGAUUUCUGUUUCUCUCCCCGGCUCUCCCCUCUCUCCUCACACCGCAACCCUUCUCUCAGUGUCCAUGUUCAUGAGAUCUAAUUGCCACCAAGCAGACACAUAUUGGAUUAUGUUAUUACACAUAUGCCUAUAAAACCCCUACAUCCAAAUAACAAUAUAGGUGAAAUGCAGCAAAUAUUGUUCAGCAACUUAUACCUUGAGUCUUCUGUCCGUUCCACCAAGGAUAGAACACAGACAUCAUUCAAGACUAGACAACCCUCAACAUCUUAAAAUUGGAACUAAUUCAACUUAGAUAACCAUAAGGGUCUGUUUGGAUGGGGUUAGGAAAAAUUGAGAUUUGACCGCUUUCCAACAGGGACAUAACUCACUUACUCACUUACCCCUCCUCUAUUUAGCCCUCCUUCGCCCUCAUCCAAACAGACCCUAAGUAGAAUCAGCUUCAUGAAUUCAUAAAACUGAACUACAAAAUUUCGCAGAUAACUACAUAAAUAAAUUAUUUAUAUAUAAAGUGUCCAAUGAAAAUAAAACUGACCUCCGAAACCCCACCCAACGCCGAACCCACAACCGAUACCAAAACCAAAUCCCACACCGGGACCACUGAAAUUUGUAAGUACCAUUUUCUUUCGCAGCUGAGAAUGAGAGAGCUGAUAGCCCUUUGAAUUCAAGCUGCGAGACUUAAAAAGGGAGGUAUCAACACAAAGGGGAAAGUUUAUAGAAGCAAAUCAAUUUGAU